Molecule: ribosomal RNA, 519 nt
Filed under: Aureobasidium proteae
Lineage: Eukaryota; Fungi; Ascomycota; Dothideomycetes; Dothideales; Saccotheciaceae
Description: partial 26S ribosomal RNA
Source: RNAcentral
GCGCGGACCUCAGUCCCGGCUGGCCGUAUUACACCCUGGGCUAUAACACCUCCACCGAAGUGGAGGCCACAUUCCCAGAGCCUUUAUCCGGCCGCCGAAACUGAUGCUGGCCUGUCCAAACUGAGUAAACCGGUCAGAAGACCGGCCGAACAGUUUAAACAAGUCUGAUUGCAAGCGCUUCCCUUUCAACAAUUUCACGUGCUUUUUAACUCUCUUUCCAAAGUGCUUUUCAUCUUUCGAUCACUCUACUUGUGCGCUAUCGGUCUCUCGCCAAUAUUUAGCUUUAGAAGAAAUUUACCUCCCAUUUAGAGCUGCAUUCCCAAACAACUCGACUCGUCGAAGGAGAUUUACAUAGGGUGCCAUUUCCUGUCACAUACGGGAUUCUCACCCUCUAUGACGUCCUGUUCCAAGGAACUUAGACAGGCGGCUUCCCCAAAUCAUCCUCUACAAAUUACAAUGCGAACCCGAAGGCUAGCUUUCAAAUUUGAGCUGUUGCCGCUUCACUCGCCGUUACUAGGG